AACGAACGCUGGCGGCAUGCCUAACACAUGCAAGUCGAGCGCCCGUAGCAAUACGGGAGCGGCGCACGGGUGAGUAGCGCGUGGGAACCUGCCCAGAGGUUCGGGACAACCGCGGGAAACUGCGGCUGAUACCGGAUAAGAUGCCUGAGGGCCAAAGAUUUAUCGACCUUUGGAGGGGCCCGCGUCGGAUUAGGUAGUUGGUGAGGUAACGGCUCACCAAGCCUGUGAUCCGAGCUGGUCUGAGAGGAUGAUCAGCCACACUGGGACUGAGACACGGCCCAGACUCCUACGGGAGGCAGCAGUGGGGAGUAUUGGACAAUGGGGCAACCCUGAUCCAGCAAUGCCGCGUGGGUGAUGAAGGCCUU
Molecule: ribosomal RNA, 365 nt
Filed under: uncultured bacterium
Lineage: Bacteria
Description: bacterial SSU rRNA
Rfam family: Bacterial small subunit ribosomal RNA
Source: RNAcentral